Cinara cedri is the source of this 416-nucleotide non-coding RNA. The record is from the annotation of a GenBank genome assembly. Lineage: Eukaryota; Metazoa; Arthropoda; Insecta; Hemiptera; Aphididae.
UAUAUAAGAUAAUCUCUCCUAUUCUAUAGAAUUUCUUAAUUAGAAGAUAGUUUUCUCCUCGAUUUAGAUAUAUCUGAAUAUGAUUGGAUAAAUGACCCAUUUGAUAAAAAUAUAUGUUUAACUGAAUUCAGCCAUGAAGAAGAAGAAAAAGAGCUCGCAGAAAUAUGAAAAAUUCAAACUCUUAUCACAAUAUAAAAGUGUUCCAUUUAAUCAAUUUUGGAUUCAUGUUGAAAAAUGCAUAGGUACAAUAAUUGGCAAAAAAGCUCUAAAAAUAUAAACGCAUUUUUCGACGCCAUAUUUAUGUCAACAAUGAUUUUCCACUCUUGUAAACAUAAAAACAAAUUAAUGAAUGAAAAUAGAGUUCAUUGAAGAAGAAAUGAGAGUGUGUCAUUGAACUAUUCGACCACGAGUAAAAG